RNAcentral lists this long non-coding RNA (2038 nucleotides) under Ovis aries (sheep). RNAcentral describes it as "lncRNA (ENSOARG00000026190.1)". Lineage: Eukaryota; Metazoa; Chordata; Mammalia; Artiodactyla; Bovidae. The record is from RNAcentral.
AUGUUGACUGCGACCCUCCGGUGCCGGGGGCGCUUGGAUCUGUCUCCACUUGCUCCAUGGACCACGUCUGCUCUCCCCGUUAGCUUCUCCAGGAGACAAAGCUCAAGCUACCAGCCCAUUAAGAUGACGACACCAAGACUGCCGACUGGUCUAGUCUGUGACUCACCCAGGACCAGGCCCCAGGCCAGUGCUCGGGACUCCCCAGGCUGGGCAGAAGAGCAUGAGGGGUCUCCACCCACCUGCUCCUUGGUAUGCCUCUGCCCUGGCAGGGCAGCCCCUUCUUCUGGCCGGCUCUUGACUCUCCUGGGUGCAAUGCCCUUGGAGCAACCCUCAGAGGUUCCUAUCACUCUCCUACCUCCUGCCCCCCUCGCCAAAAACUUAUUAAGCAGUCGCCUGUCACCUCUACCUUAAUAAAUAAGAAUCUCUUUUCAGCUUCUUUGUCUUCCUCACCUUGGGGCCCACCUCCUGUAACCACACUGUCAAUUACACCUCAUGUCUAGCAAGGCCAGAGCUAAUGAAAAGCAAUAGAGAAUUCACUGCCUUUUAAUGAGGGAAACAUGGCUUUUUACAGGGAACAAUUUAUUGGGCCAAUUCCCCCCGUCCAUCACCCAGGGGAGUUGCUGCCUUUUAGUACCCUGCGUUUGUUACCGUGUCAAGCACUGUGUAAAAUUGCCAGCCAAGCACCGAGGUGAAGGCUCUGACUCAAUUUACAGGGUGACAUCUCUAAUCUCCCUCCUCGGAUCAGUAAGUGAUCCUGGCAAUGAUAUGCAUAGAAAUUAAUUACUCUGUCCCUCCUGCUCCCUGGCAGCCAGAAGUAGGGCAUGGUCCUUGGUCACAACAGCCGGGCCUACAGGCCACUGACCUCCAUUGUUUCUAGCUAUUUGUCCUGGCAAGAGUAUACAGAAGAGACAGGACCACACUGCCAGAAAAGGCAAGGGAACAAAUACAUGGGAGGAGAGCAUCUUGUGCAGCUCAGCCUUGUUUGAGAUCAAGAGAAAAUACCAGGUCUAUCACUGUUUCCAAGGGAGAGGGUGAGCCAGGGGACGCAGGAAGAAAACCCCAGGCUGAGAUUCAGGGAAUGUCUAAUCUGCUGCUAAUUUUCUUUAUGACCCUGGGCAUGCCACUUCAUCUCUGAAGUAGAGUGUUUUAAACAGUGAUUCCUCUGAGGUUCUGCAAAAAUAGACCUCCCCUCCCCAUCCUUCUCCUUUGCCUUCCCUGGAUGAUCUGUUGGGCUACUUUCAAUCAUUGGGCUUUAGGCUUGGGCGAGCUGUGUGACCCUGGGCAAGUCUCUUCACUUCCUCCACACUCUAGAAUCUUAUGGUUCAUGAUCUACUUCCAAAGAUGGUUUCAAGAGUCAAAUGAAAGCAAGUUGCUUUAGAAUAUAAGAUCAUAUCAUUUAAGUUCCAGAUCUGGGAGAAAUUAGGAAAAAAUGGCUAUUGUGAGGAGGACUGACCAAGAAUUCCUGCCUUAAAGUAUCUGCCACACUUCAUGUCAUAUCUGAAAUCCAACCAUUAGCAAUUUAUUUCUUUGAGUCUUCAGAUAUCACUUAUUGAUGUUAGUUCUUAUCAAGCAUUCACUCACUCUGUCCCAAAGAGCAUACUUAGAUUGAUCACCAUCACAUUUACAUAAUCAUAGCAAACUUUUAUUUCUUUUUUAAAUUUGAAAUAUAGCUGAUGUAUAAUAUUAUAUUAGUUUCAGGUAUACCCAUAGUGAUUCAACAUUUAAACAUUACAAAGUGAUCACCGUGAUAAGUCUAGUAACCGUCUGCCUCCAUACAAAGUUAUUAGAGCAUUAUCAAUGUAUAUUACAUUCUUGUGACUAAUUUAUUUUGUAACAUCUUAAUUCCCUUUACCGAUUUUACCCAUUCCUCCACCUCUUCCACUCUGGCAACCAUUCAUUUGUUCUCUGUAUCUAUGAGUCUCUUUACAUUUUGCUUUGUUUGCUUGUUUUUGUUUUUAGGUUCCACAUAUAAGUGUAAUCAUAUGGAAUAUAUCCAUUUUUCCUGUCUGACUUAUUUCACUUAACAUAAUACCCUCUA